Molecule: ribosomal RNA, 467 nt
Filed under: uncultured bacterium
Lineage: Bacteria
Description: partial 16S ribosomal RNA
Rfam family: Bacterial small subunit ribosomal RNA
Source: RNAcentral
GACGAACGCUGGCGGCGUGCUUAACACAUGCAAGUCGAACGGAAAGGCCCUGCUUUUGUGGGUGCCCGGGUGGCGAACGGGUGAGUAACACGUGAGUUACCUGCCCUUGACUUUGGGAUAACUUCAAGAAAAUGGGGCCAAUACCGGAUAGGAGCCCCUGCUGCCUGGUGGGGGUUGGGAAGGUUCGGCGGUUGGGGAUGGACUCGCGGCUUAUCAGCUUGUUGGUGGGGUAGUGGCUUACCAAGGCUUUGACGGGUAGCCGGCCUGAGAGGGUGACCGGCCACAUUGGGACUGAGAUACGGCCCAGACUCCUACGGGAGGCAGCAGUGGGGAAUAUUGCACAAUGGGCGGAAGCCUGAUGCAGCAACGCCGCGUGCGGGAUGACGGCCUUCGGGUUGUAAACCGCUUUCGCCUGUGACGAAGCGUGAGUGACGGUAAUGGGUAAAGAAGCACCGGCUAACUACGUG